AUUGAACGCUGGCGGCAUGCCUUACACAUGCAAGUCGAGCGGCAGCGCGGGGGCAACCCUGGCGGCGUGCGGCGAACGGGUGAGUAAUGCAUCGGAACGUGUCCUCUUGUGGGGGAUAACCAGUCGAAAGACUGGCUAAUACCGCAUGAGAUCGAGAGAUGAAAGCAGGGGACCGCAAGGCCUUGCGCGAGAGGAGCGGCCGAUGCCGGAUUAGCUAGUUGGUGGGGUAACGGCCUACCAAGGCGACGAUCCGUAGCUGGUCUGAGAGGACGACCAGCCACACUGGGACUGAGACACGGCCCAGACUCCUACGGGAGGCAGCAGUGGGGAAUUUUGGACAAUGGGGGCAACCCUGAUCCAGCCAUGCCGCGUGUGUGAAGAAGGCCUUCGGGUUGUAAAGCACUUUCGGCCGGAACGAAAUCGCGCGAUCUAAUAAGUCGCGUGGAUGACGGUACCGGAAGAAGAAGCACCGGCUAACUACGUGC
RNAcentral lists this ribosomal RNA (485 nucleotides) under uncultured bacterium. Its description in RNAcentral is "bacterial SSU rRNA". It matches the Rfam family "Bacterial small subunit ribosomal RNA", at positions 29 to 508 of the family's 1533-position model. The record is from RNAcentral.